GGAGGUAUACCUCAGUGGUAGAGCAUGUGCCCAGCAUGCACAGAGUCCUGGGUUCAAUCCCCAGUAUCUCCA
RNAcentral lists this transfer RNA (72 nucleotides) under Camelus bactrianus (Bactrian camel). It matches the Rfam family "tRNA". Rfam says of the family: Transfer RNA (tRNA) molecules are approximately 80 nucleotides in length. Their secondary structure includes four short double-helical elements and three loops (D, anti-codon, and T loops). Further hydrogen bonds mediate the characteristic L-shaped molecular structure. tRNAs have two regions of fundamental functional importance: the anti-codon, which is responsible for specific mRNA codon recognition, and the 3' end, to which the tRNAs corresponding amino acid is attached (by aminoacyl-tRNA synthetases). tRNAs cope with the degeneracy of the genetic code in two manners: having more than one tRNA (with a specific anti-codon) for a particular amino acid; and 'wobble' base-pairing, i.e. permitting non-standard base-pairing at the 3rd anti-codon position. Lineage: Eukaryota; Metazoa; Chordata; Mammalia; Artiodactyla; Camelidae. RNAcentral also lists the same sequence under 2 other names. The record is from Rfam by way of RNAcentral.